Caerostris darwini is the source of this 94-nucleotide non-coding RNA. Lineage: Eukaryota; Metazoa; Arthropoda; Arachnida; Araneae; Araneidae. The record is from the annotation of a GenBank genome assembly.
ACGGCCAUACCAUGCUGAAUAUACCGGUUCUCGUUCAAUCACCGAAGUCAAGCAUCAUUGGGCGCGUGACCACUUGGGAACACCGCGUGCCGUU